CCACUGUAAUAGUUAUGAUUUCAUAUUAAUUUUGAAGCUAAUAAAAAUAGCUUCGAGGAAAUGAGAUUGUUUGGAGUCAUAUAUUUUGCACAAUUGAGUUCAAAUUUUCUCUACACUAAUUUCAGCCAAAAAGAGCAGCUAAUUAUAUUUGGUAAUGUAUGUGCACGAUAUGAGAUGCCAUUGGUUGAGGAUAUGUCAUUUAUUUUGUUUUUUUUUUUUCCUGAUAUUUUCAUUUUUUUUUUCUCUGAGUUCAUUUUGAUAGAUGUCCACACAACACAUGUACAGAAAACUUAAACAUCAUAGUCAAGCUUUGAUAGAGUUUAUGAUUACUACUUGCUUGAAGUAAGGAGGAGAACGGAGCUG
Molecule: long non-coding RNA, 363 nt
Filed under: Prunus persica (peach)
Lineage: Eukaryota; Viridiplantae; Streptophyta; Magnoliopsida; Rosales; Rosaceae
Description: long non-coding RNA (PPER_LNC007084)
Source: RNAcentral